ACAGCAGCCGCCGCGGGAAUACGAAGGGUGCAAGCGUUACUCGGAAUUACUGGGCGUAAAGCGUGCGUAGGUGGUGGUUUAAGUCCGUUGUGAAAGCCCUGGGCUCAACCUGGGAAUUGCAGUGGAUACUGGGUCACUAGAGUGUGGUAGAGGAUAGUGGAAUUUCCGGUGUAGCAGUGAAAUGCGUAGAGAUCGGAAGGAACAUCUGUGGCGAAGGCGACUAUCUGGGCCAACACUGACACUGAGGCACGAAAGCGUGGGGAGCAAACAGGAUUAGAUACCCCCGUAGUCCCUGUCUCUUAUAA
Molecule: ribosomal RNA, 305 nt
Filed under: uncultured bacterium
Lineage: Bacteria
Description: partial 16S ribosomal RNA
Rfam family: Bacterial small subunit ribosomal RNA
Source: RNAcentral